This 239-nucleotide ribosomal RNA is filed under the name uncultured bacterium. RNAcentral describes it as "partial 16S ribosomal RNA". It matches the Rfam family "Bacterial small subunit ribosomal RNA", at positions 15 to 248 of the family's 1533-position model. The record is from RNAcentral.
GAUCCUGGCUCAGGAUGAACGCUAGCGACAGGCUUAACACAUGCAAGUCGAGGGGCAGCACAGGGUAGCAAUACUUGGGUGGCGACCGGCGCACGGGUGAGUAACGCGUAUGCAACUUACCUAUCAGAGGGGGAUAGCCCGGCGAAAGUCGGAUUAAUACCCCAUGAAACAGGGGUCCCGCAUGGGAAUAUUUGUUAAAGAUUCAUCGCUGAUANAUAGGCAUGCGUUCCAUUAGGCAG